GCCUGGGUGUCUCAGUCGGUUAAGUGUCUGACUUCAACUCAGGUCAUAACCUCGUGAUUCGUGGGUUCGAGCCCCACAUCAGGCU
This 85-nucleotide transfer RNA is filed under the name Felis catus (domestic cat). It matches the Rfam family "tRNA". Rfam says of the family: Transfer RNA (tRNA) molecules are approximately 80 nucleotides in length. The record is from Rfam by way of RNAcentral. Lineage: Eukaryota; Metazoa; Chordata; Mammalia; Carnivora; Felidae.